Molecule: long non-coding RNA, 480 nt
Organism: Syngnathoides biaculeatus (alligator pipefish)
Lineage: Eukaryota; Metazoa; Chordata; Actinopteri; Syngnathiformes; Syngnathidae
Exons: 5
Source: RefSeq, a predicted model, not a curated record
CUCAGACUUGCAACAUGGCCAAGUAAAUACUUAUUUUCUCCACUGUAUAUGCGGGGGGACACUGUAUUUCUUGGCAGUCUGGAUGCCGUGUAGAACCAAACAGCCUCUCACAGGGCCAGGAUCGAACGUGGCCACCUCUCCCGCCAGCAAGCACGAGAACCGCGACCACCGUGUGAGGUCUCCCACGCACAUUCCCCCAAUUUUCAUCAAUGAACUCCAUACAAGACACCUGAGAGCAGGACUUCAGUGGAAAGCCAAGCCGAAGAGAGAAGAAGAAUGCAUGCUGAAUAAGUAAAUGGAAUUCCAGGGCGAGGUCCCAGCGAGGUCACUGCCAAGAAGACACACUACCCAGGUGUACUGUAUGGGGUGGCAGUUAGUGAGCAUAGCUAGAAAACCGGCUGGCGACAUCCUUCUCUCCCAGGCGUUGCCGUGGAGAUGAAUGACACCAGAUAAGGAGCGGAAAGUUACCAUCCCGGCCCA